RNAcentral lists this ribosomal RNA (86 nucleotides) under Aerococcus mictus. RNAcentral's name for it is "partial 16S ribosomal RNA". It matches the Rfam family "Bacterial small subunit ribosomal RNA", at positions 1 to 83 of the family's 1533-position model. The record is from RNAcentral. Lineage: Bacteria; Bacillati; Bacillota; Bacilli; Lactobacillales; Aerococcaceae.
UUUCAUGAGAGUUUGAUCCUGGCUCAGGACGAACGCUGGCGGCGUGCCUAAUACAUGCAAGUCGAGCGAACCGACGAAGUGCUUGC